GCUAAAUAUUUCCACAGGACCGAUAGCAAACAAGUACCGUGAGGGAAAGUUGAAAAGCACUCUGAAGAGAGAGUCAAAAGACCGUGAAACCGCUCAGGGUAUAAGCCCAUGGUGAUUUGGAAGGCGGAACACAUGAUAAGGAGUGCUACUUGGCUUAGUACUGUCCGUCUCGUGCACGCACUUGGGAGGUUAAGUUGUGCAGUACAUCGUAAUGCCGCUGCCGAUCGGGAGUUGGGUUGGGAGUUGCUGGCGGCGCGUGUCAAAGCGUGUCGUCUUCGGCUCUCGCUCUUCUCUUGCGAUCGACCGACCAGGAGGUGCAGAUGCGAGACUGUGUUAUAUGCCCACCACAACACGUUGCGAGGUCACCCACAGGCUCGACUGUCGAUUGCGCAUCCAUUCUCGGGCAGGCUGCGGCAGAGUCGUUACCAGGCAAGGUUCGGCGAUGCAGCUCUGCUCGGAGUGGGUCGGGCGGCGACUGAGUUCUGGUAUGAUCCUCCUGCGACGAGUUGCUUUCUGACCAGAACAGCGCGCCAUGGAUUCACAUCUCGUGUUUCUGUGUGUACCAAGGGAAGGCUGCCUUGUCCCCUUAAGGCGGUUUGUGCCCUCUGCAUGAGCUUAAUCAGCAAGGCCUCCGUCGCGCUGCUGUACCUGUGUGGUGUAAAGUCCAAAGCCAUCGGUCACGUCUCGAAACACGGG
Molecule: ribosomal RNA, 696 nt
Filed under: Jesogammarus annandalei
Lineage: Eukaryota; Metazoa; Arthropoda; Malacostraca; Amphipoda; Anisogammaridae
Also listed under: 1 other name
Description: eukaryotic LSU rRNA
Rfam family: Eukaryotic large subunit ribosomal RNA
Source: RNAcentral